RNAcentral lists this ribosomal RNA (451 nucleotides) under uncultured bacterium. RNAcentral's name for it is "partial 16S ribosomal RNA". It matches the Rfam family "Bacterial small subunit ribosomal RNA", at positions 354 to 796 of the family's 1533-position model. The record is from RNAcentral.
GUGGGGAAUAUUGGACAAUGGGGGGAACCCUGAUCCAGCCAUGCCGCGUGUGUGAAGAAGGCCUUUUGGUUGUAAAGCACUUUAAGUGGGGAGGAGGCUUACCUGGUUAAUACCUGGGCUAAGUGGACGUUACCCACAGAAUAAGCACCGGCUAACUCUGUGCCAGCAGCCGCGGUAAUACAGAGGGUGCGAGCGUUAAUCGGAUUUACUGGGCGUAAAGCGCGCGUAGGUGGUUAAUUAAGUCAAAUGUGAAAUCCCCGAGCUUAACUUGGGAAUUGCAUUCGAUACUGGUUGGCUAGAGUAUAGGAGAGGAUGGUAGAAUUCCAGGUGUAGCGGUGAAAUGCGUAGAGAUCUGGAGGAAUACCGAUGGCGAAGGCAGCCAUCUGGCCUAAUACUGACACUGAGGUGCGAAAGCAUGGGGAGCAAACAGGAUUAGAAACCCUUGUAGUCC